RNAcentral lists this long non-coding RNA (1937 nucleotides) under Mytilus galloprovincialis (Mediterranean mussel). Lineage: Eukaryota; Metazoa; Mollusca; Bivalvia; Mytilida; Mytilidae. The record is from RNAcentral.
AAACUAUUCUACAAUACUGUUACGUUCAUGUUAGCGCUUGUGAUUUGUUCCUUCUAUUUACAGUGACUUUUGUUGAAUUUUGGGUUGUUGCCGCCAUAAUUUGAUUGCUUAUAGGAACAUACACUUCUCAGAAGUCCGUAAUAUAAGUGGAUAUUGUCGGUUCCAAAGCUUCUUAAUAGUUCAUUCGGAAUACUGAUUUUCUUCCAAGGAAUUGGGACUUUUAUAGGUCCACCAAUAACAGGUAAGCUGACAUAAAAGUUGAUUAAAUGUAUAAUUAAGGUGUAAGAUUUAUUUAUGGGUGAAAAUAAGGAGAUAUGGUUUGAUUGUAAAUUAGAUAAGUAUCAGCCAUAGUGACCUAGUGAAAGCUAUUAUUGGUCAUCAAUUGGUUUUCCACUAUGAGUAAAAUCCAUACCGUUUAGUCACUUAUAAAAGUCCCGACAUGGGAAAAUGUGUAAUAUUCCAAAGCUUGAUUUUUUGUAAUACAAUGAAUAACAACAAACCUAACAAGACAAUUUGAAAACAAAGGAUGUACUAGGUUUAUGUGUGCCAAAUAAUAACUUCAUUUUAAAGAAGUAUUUGAAUUAAACAUUAGAAGAGGGACUAUAAUACAUGAAUUGACGUAUACUCCUUUAAUUGAUGGUCGUUACUGGUCUGUUUAAGUCAGCUUUAGAUUUAGCUUUCAAACACUUAAACAUAAAUAUAGAGUUAAAAAAAAUAAUAGUUGUUGAUUAUAUUUGGAGAAGAAUACUUGUUGGAAGCGGUGUCUGUAAUUAUAGUAAUUUUUAAAGUAUGAAGCUGGAUCUUUGCUUUUAUUAUAAUGAGCUUCAUGGACUUAAUAGUAAGAAAAUUAUGCAACUCAUGGACCAUAUCAUGAACCCAUCUGAAUGAUUAAAUACCUAUAAAUUAUUUAUGAACUGACCUUGGCGAGCUAUUAUUAAACUAAAGAUAAGUCUUUCAUGACUAUUCAUCUCUCAAGAUCCAGAUGAAAGGACAAGCACCUGCUUUAACAUACAUAUCCAUAAAUAUUGUAAGAGAGGGGUCACGAUCCUUUCUGUUAAGGUUGGUGGUUUUAUUGGCCUUUUUAUACUUCUGUUACUACACUGUUAUUUUGAAAAUAUUAUUUUUUUUAAUUUUUUAAUUCACUAUUUUCUUUUUUCUCAUUUAAGAAAAUUUAAAUUGCUUUUAUAGGUUAUCAGCAUUUUAAAUUUUCUGUUUUGAGCAAAAUAAAAAUGGUAAAACUAGUAAUGAACCCCUUUUGACAUGAGAUGAAAAAACAUAGCUUUCGUAAUGAUGAUAAUUUAGAUCAGCCUUGCUUUUUUAUAAUUAUAAUAAUGUAUCAUAUUUGUUUUCAGACAUUAUUUUUUGAUAGAUAAUAAUUUAUCAUAUUUAUACAUAAACAUGCUUAAUUACAAUACAUGUAACAUCAUUUCCUGUAAAACAAAUAUUUCUCUCUUAUUAGAAUUUGCACAGAAAAGGGUAUUAUGUUUCAGCUAAUAAUAUUGUGUAGAUGACUUGGAUACAUACUUCGGGUUUCUUAUGACGUUCAUCUUCAAAACUAUUUUUUUUAUUGAAUUACAAAUCUUGAAAUUUAAAUCGAAUAGAACACUGCAAAUCAAAACAUUCACUUUUCACAAAGUAAAAGUAGUAAGAAAUUUUAUUUUUUUUUAAAUGAUAAUAUAACAUUCAGAGAAAAUGCAACUUUUGGCAGUUUAUACAAGAAAGAAAUGUCAAGGAUAUUGCAUUUGACAAGUUUCUGCUCUUUAGUUGCAUGAAUACAUCGGACUUUUUUUAACUCUAAAUGACCUCACGUAGUGAGUGAUCGUCAAUACGCCCACUCUCCAUUACAAGCUCUACUUUAAUCAGAUAUUUAAUCUGUCACUUUACACUUUAUAUUUUCAGGUGUGCUUAAAGAUGAAUAUAAUUUCUAUGUUGACAGA